CUUAGGAUGAACGCUAGCGACAGGCCUAACACAUGCAAGUCGAGGGGCAGCACAAGGAGCAAUCUGAGGUGGCGACCGGCGCACGGGUGAGUAACACGUAUGCAACCUGCCUGUAAGCGGGGAAUAACCCGUUGAAAGACGGACUAAUACCGCAUAAUACUAAAUUACUGCAUGGUAAUUUAUUUAAACAUUUAUGGCUUACAGAUGGGCAUGCGCAUGAUUAGCUAGUUGGAGAGGUAACGGCUCCCCAAGGCAACGAUCAUUAGGGGUUCUGAGAGGAAGGUCCCCCACACUGGUACUGAGACACGGACCAGACUCCUACGGGAGGCAGCAGUGAGGAAUAUUGGUCAAUGGACGAGAGUCUGAACCAGCCAAGUCGCGUGCAGGAAGAAUGUCCUAAUGGAUUGUAAACUGCUUUUGCAGGGGAAUAAAGUGCAUCACGUGUGAUGUUUUGUAUGUACUCUGCGAAUAAGGAUCGGCUAACUCCGUGCCAGCAGCAGC
This 501-nucleotide ribosomal RNA is filed under the name uncultured bacterium. RNAcentral describes it as "bacterial SSU rRNA". It matches the Rfam family "Bacterial small subunit ribosomal RNA", at positions 23 to 518 of the family's 1533-position model. The record is from RNAcentral.